UAAGAGCUUGCUCUUAGGCGUCGAGUGGCGGACGGGUGCGUAACGCGUGGAUAUCUGCCUAUAAGUUGGGGAUAAGCUUUGGAAACAGAGUCUAAUACCGAAUAAGUUCUACGGAAUAAAGGAUGCCUCUCCUUGGAAGCAUUCGCUUAUAGAUGAGUCCGCGUUGGAUUAGCUAGUUGGUGGGGUAAAGGCCUACCAAGGCGACGAUCCAUAGCUGGUUUGAGAGGAUGAUCAGCCACACUGGGACUGAGACACGGCCCAGACUCC
This 267-nucleotide ribosomal RNA is filed under the name unidentified marine bacterioplankton. RNAcentral describes it as "partial 16S ribosomal RNA". It matches the Rfam family "Bacterial small subunit ribosomal RNA", at positions 73 to 339 of the family's 1533-position model. The record is from RNAcentral.